AUACAGAGGGUGCGAGCGUUAAUCGGAAUUACUGGGCGUAAAGCGCGCGUAGGCGGCUACUUAAGUCAGAUGUGAAAUCCCCGGGCUCAACCUGGGAACUGCAUCUGAUACUGGGUAGCUAGAGUUUAGGAGAGGGAAGUAGAAUUUCAGGUGUAGCGGUGAAAUGCAUAGAGAUCUGAAGGAAUACCAGUGGCGAAGGCGGCUUCCUGGCCUAAAACUGACGCUGAGGUGCGAAAGCGUGGGUAGCAAACGGGAUUAGAUACCCGAGUAGUCC
This 274-nucleotide ribosomal RNA is filed under the name uncultured bacterium. Its description in RNAcentral is "partial 16S ribosomal RNA". It matches the Rfam family "Bacterial small subunit ribosomal RNA", at positions 523 to 796 of the family's 1533-position model. The record is from RNAcentral.